AGAGUUUGAUCCUGGCUCAGGAUGAACGCUAGCGGCAGGCCUAAUACAUGCAAGUCGAACGGGAUCCACCAGCUUGCUGGUGGUGAGAGUGGCGCACGGGUGCGUAACGCGUGAGCAACCUACCCAUAUCAGGGGGAUAGCCCCUCGAAAGAGGGAUUAACACCGCAUAAGAUUAUAAGAUGGCAUCAUCAAGUAAUUAAAUAUUCAUAGGAUAUGGAUGGGCUCGCGUGACAUUAGCUAGUUGGUGGGGUAACGGCUCACCAAGGCGACGAUGUCUAGGGGCUCUGAGAGGAGAAUCCCCCACACUGGUACUGAGACACGGACCAGACUCCUACGGGAGGCAGCAGUAAGGAAUAUUGGUCAAUGGGCGAGAGCCUGAACCAGCCAUGCCGCGUGCAGGAGGACGGCCCUACGGGUUGUAAAGCCCUUUCAGCGGGGAAGAUAAUGACGGUACCCGCAGAAGAAGCCCCGGCUAACUUCGUGCCAGCAGCCGCGGUAAUAC
RNAcentral lists this ribosomal RNA (502 nucleotides) under uncultured bacterium. RNAcentral's name for it is "bacterial SSU rRNA". It matches the Rfam family "Bacterial small subunit ribosomal RNA", at positions 8 to 526 of the family's 1533-position model. The record is from RNAcentral.